Molecule: transfer RNA, 71 nt
Filed under: Bos taurus (domestic cattle)
Lineage: Eukaryota; Metazoa; Chordata; Mammalia; Artiodactyla; Bovidae
Also listed under: 4 other names
Rfam family: tRNA
About the family: Transfer RNA (tRNA) molecules are approximately 80 nucleotides in length. Their secondary structure includes four short double-helical elements and three loops (D, anti-codon, and T loops).
Source: Rfam by way of RNAcentral
CCCCGGUGACUCUGAGAGUAAAGAAUCUGCUUACAAUGCAGGAGACCUGGGUUUGAUUCCUGGAUUGGGAA